Etheostoma cragini (Arkansas darter) is the source of this 194-nucleotide long non-coding RNA. RefSeq lists it as uncharacterized. The record is from RefSeq and is a predicted model, not a curated record. NCBI's taxonomy places the organism in Eukaryota, Metazoa, Chordata, Actinopteri, Perciformes, Percidae. The transcript is spliced from 3 exons.
AGGAGUUAAAACGGAAUGGGAGGGGGUAGAAAGUAAUAUUCAGUUGGUUGUCAUAUACAAUGUCACCGCCAGAUUGGAGAAAGUCUCACACAAUGUAGCUUUAAAGAAGCAAAAGAAAAUCUCAAUACUCAAUACUAUCGAAUCCCAAUAGUUCUAGUAUUGCAAUAAAAAACUAUUGCAAUACAAAUUGAAUU